Molecule: small RNA, 100 nt
Filed under: Salmonella enterica subsp. houtenae
Lineage: Bacteria; Pseudomonadati; Pseudomonadota; Gammaproteobacteria; Enterobacterales; Enterobacteriaceae
Description: partial RtT sRNA
Rfam family: RtT RNA
About the family: This family represents a bacterial cis-regulatory element known as RtT RNA. The exact function of RtT is unknown although it is thought that it may be involved in changing the cellular response in relation to amino acid starvation.
Source: RNAcentral
CGAUUAAGGUUCGACUCGAGCGGAAGCGAGAGAACGUUGCCAACGGCAACGGCCCGAAGGGGGAGGAGCGGAGCGACGAAUAAUCCUUCCCCCACCACCA